Molecule: ribosomal RNA, 253 nt
Filed under: uncultured bacterium
Lineage: Bacteria
Description: partial 16S ribosomal RNA
Rfam family: Bacterial small subunit ribosomal RNA
Source: RNAcentral
UACGAAGGGAGCUAGCGUUGUUCGGAAUCACUGGGCGUAAAGCGCACGUAGGCGGAUGUGUCAGUCAGGGGUGAAAUCCCGGAGCUCAACUUCGGAACUGCCCUUGAUACAGCACAUCUGGAGUCCGGAAGAGGUGGGUGGAAUUCCUAGUGUAGAGGUGAAAUUCGUAGAUAUUAGGAAGAACCCCGGUGGCGAAGGCGGCCCACUGGCUCGACACUGACGCUGAGGUGCGAAAGCGUGGGGAGAAAACAGG